This 27-nucleotide non-coding RNA is filed under the name Homo sapiens (human). Lineage: Eukaryota; Metazoa; Chordata; Mammalia; Primates; Hominidae. The record is from RNAcentral.
UGUGACUGUGUGUGCUUCGAACAUCCC